GGGGAAUUUUGGACAAUGGGCGCAAGCCUGAUCCAGCCAUUCCGCGUGAGUGAAGAAGGCCUUCGGGUUGUAAAGCUCUUUCGGCAGGGAAGAAACGGCCAUGGCUAAUAUCCGUGGCUAAUGACGGUACCUGAAGAAGAAGCACCGGCUAACUACGUGCCAGCAGCCGCGGUAAUACGUAGGGUGCGAGCGUUAAUCGGAAUUACUGGGCGUAAAGCGUGCGCAGGCGGUUUUGUAAGCCAGAUGUGAAAUCCCCGGGCUCAACCUGGGAACUGCGUUUGUGACUGCAAGACUCGAGUACGGCAGAGGGGGGUGGAAUUCCACGUGUAGCAGUGAAAUGCGUAGAGAUGUGGAGGAACACCGAUGGCGAAGGCAGCCCCCUGGGUCGAUACUGACGCUCAUGCACGAAAGCGUGGGGAGCAAAC
RNAcentral lists this ribosomal RNA (425 nucleotides) under uncultured bacterium. RNAcentral describes it as "bacterial SSU rRNA". It matches the Rfam family "Bacterial small subunit ribosomal RNA", at positions 356 to 773 of the family's 1533-position model. The record is from RNAcentral.